Molecule: ribosomal RNA, 647 nt
Filed under: uncultured bacterium
Lineage: Bacteria
Description: bacterial SSU rRNA
Rfam family: Bacterial small subunit ribosomal RNA
Source: RNAcentral
AGAGUUUGAUCAUGCCUUAGAUUGAACGCUGGCGGCAGGCCUAACACAUGCAAGUCCAGCGGUAGAGAGGUGCUUGCACCUCUUGAGAGCGGCGGACGGGUGAGUAAAGCCUAGGAAUCUGCCUGGUAGUGGGGGAUAACGCUCGGAAACGGACGCUAAUACCGCAUACGUCCUACGGGAGAAAGCAGGGGACCUUCGGGCCUUGCGCUAUCAGAUGAGCCUAGGUCGGAUUAGCUAGUUGGUGAGGUAAUGGCUCACCAAGGCGACGAUCCGUAACUGGUCUGAGAGGAUGAUCAGUCACACUGGAACUGAGACACGGUCCAGACUCCUACGGGAGGCAGCAGUGGGGAAUAUUGGACAAUGGGCGAAAGCCUGAUCCAGCCAUGCCGCGUGUGUGAAGAAGGUCUUCGGAUUGUAAAGCACUUUAAGUUGGGAGGAAGGGCAUUAACCUAAUACGUUAGUGUUUUGACGUUACCGACAGAAUAAGCACCGGCUAACUCUGUGCCAGCAGCCGCGGUAAUACAGAGGGUGCAAGCGUUAAUCGGAAUUACUGGGCGUAAAGCGCGCGUAGGUGGUUCGUUAGGUUGGAUGUGAAAUCCCCGGGCUCAACCUGGGAACUGCAUUCAAAACUGUCGAGCUAGAGUAUG